This 234-nucleotide long non-coding RNA is filed under the name Carica papaya (papaya). RNAcentral's name for it is "long non-coding RNA (CPAP_LNC004820)". Lineage: Eukaryota; Viridiplantae; Streptophyta; Magnoliopsida; Brassicales; Caricaceae. The record is from RNAcentral.
AUAUAUAUAUAUAUAUAUAUAAAUACAUAUAAAGCCCUUCCCUUUUCUCUUCCUAUUUUCUUCUCCCUUUCGACCUCUUACGUAAACUCUCUUUUCUAACAACAUAUAUAUAUGUAUAACACUUCCCUUUUCUCUUCUUUCUUUUUUCUCUCUCUCUCUCUCUCUCUCUCUUAUGACUUCCCUCAUAAACUCUCUUUCUUUUAUGCUUUUAGCUUGCUUCACACAACUUUUUCU